RNAcentral lists this ribosomal RNA (374 nucleotides) under uncultured bacterium. RNAcentral's name for it is "bacterial SSU rRNA". It matches the Rfam family "Bacterial small subunit ribosomal RNA", at positions 524 to 898 of the family's 1533-position model. The record is from RNAcentral.
UACAGAGGGUGCGAGCGUUAAUCGGAAUUACUGGGCGUAAAGGGCGCGUAGGCGGUUGGAUGAGUGUGAUGUGAAAGCCCCGGGCUUAACCUGGGAAGUGCAUCGCAAACGAUCUAACUGGAGUAGAUGAGAGGGUGGCGGAAUUUCCGGUGUAGCGGUGAAAUGCGUAGAGAUCGGAAGGAACGUCAAUGGCGAAGGCAGCCACCUGGCAUCAUACUGACGCUGAGGCGCGAAAGCGUGGGGAGCGAACAGGAUUAGAUACCCUGGUAGUCCACGCUGUAAACGAUGAGGACUAAAUGUUGUUAGGGGAACCUAGCAGUAUUGAAGCAAACGCGAUAAGUCUUCCGCCUGGGAAGUACGGCCGCAAGGUUGAA